GGGUAGACGCCGGAUGAGCGGAUAUCAUUGAUGUUGAUAAAUAUGGAAUUUGUAUUCUUCUACCUU
This 66-nucleotide transfer RNA is filed under the name Hypselodoris festiva. RNAcentral's name for it is "tRNA-Ile". Lineage: Eukaryota; Metazoa; Mollusca; Gastropoda; Nudibranchia; Chromodorididae. The record is from RNAcentral.